Molecule: long non-coding RNA, 1152 nt
Filed under: Nothobranchius furzeri (turquoise killifish)
Lineage: Eukaryota; Metazoa; Chordata; Actinopteri; Cyprinodontiformes; Nothobranchiidae
Description: lncRNA (ENSNFUG00015013004.1)
Source: RNAcentral
AUGAUUUUCUUUAUAUCAACUCCUGCCUUGUGUCAUCCUGGGUAUCUGCAUUUUGGGUCCAAACAGCCCUCUCAACGUGACAGAAUGAACCGACCACACAGGACCCAGCGGAUAACCAGGAUGUACAAUUUUGAUGGUGACCCGGACUCCUAUCUGACUUUUAUCUUGGACGUGACGAGAUUUUAUGGCUCGGACAUUUCGGGCUCUGAUUUGAUCAUUAAUACUGUGCUCCUCCUACGGGGAAGAGCCCUGCAGUGGGCCAGCCGUUACCAAAAUCCCUUAGAGGAGUUGGAGUUUUGGGAUUUCGCAGAGGAUCUGCAGGACGCUUGCAGCAGCCCACAAGCUCCCUCCUGUUCGAUGGAUCACAAUCUGCCAGCAAACACUGUUGUAAGAGCUGCCUUCUCAGCAUCUUCAAAGCGCCCCAGCUCCACACUCUCACCUGGUCCGGUCAGCGCCACCUUUCCAUCUCCGGGGGGCUGUCACACUUCAUCACCCUCUGUUCCGAGACUUCAGUCCUUUCCUGCCCCGGUCCAGACUAUCAGAACCAGCUUCGUCUCCUUCUUCCCUGAACCAGUUGGCGCUGUCUCAGCACCUCUGAUGGGCCAAAUCACCACACCCUCACCUGAUCCCGACAACGCUGCCUCUUCAUCCCUGGUGGGUUUUUAUUCCUCCUCAUCUUCAGUUUCUGCCAUCUCCACACCUCUGUUGACCCAAGAUCCCCCAGGUCGACGACGACGCAACCGCCGUCAGGUCUUCUGUGGUCAGAGCAUCACCAGCAGUUCAGGUGUCACCUGCACUUACACCUCAGCCCAAGCUCCACUCGCCACCAUCUCCAGCUCAGCCCGAUCUCCUCAUCCCAGAGACCUGUUCAGCCUGUCCAAGAGGUCCUUGUUCUGCAGUCCAAGUCUGAGCUCCACCUGCCGUCACCUUAUCCAGUUCCAGCAGUGGUCCCAGAAGUCGCACCAUGUCCCGUUCCAGCGGUGGUCCCGGAGAACGAAUCACAUCCUGUCUCGGCGGUGGUCCCAGAGGACGCAUCGCUUCUCCUCCAGUUUCACUGGCUGCCAGUCAACUUCAGGGUUCAUUUCUAGAUCCUGGUUCUGGUCUAUAGGGCCUUACAUGGACAAGCACCAUCUUACAUUGGUGAUCUUCUAA